Molecule: ribosomal RNA, 484 nt
Filed under: uncultured bacterium
Lineage: Bacteria
Description: partial 16S ribosomal RNA
Rfam family: Bacterial small subunit ribosomal RNA
Source: RNAcentral
AUUGAACGCUGGCGGCAGGCCUAACACAUGCAAGUCGAGCGGAUGAAGGGAGCUUGCUCCUGGAUUCAGCGGCGGACGGGUGAGUAAUGCCUAGGAAUCUGCCUGGUAGUGGGGGAUAACGUCCGGAAACGGGCGCUAAUACCGCAUACGUCCUGAGGGAGAAAGUGGGGGAUCUUCGGACCUCACGCUAUCAGAUGAGCCUAGGUCGGAUUAGCUAGUUGGUGGGGUAAAGGCCUACCAAGGCGACGAUCCGUAACUGGUCUGAGAGGAUGAUCAGUCACACUGGAAGGGAGACACGGUCCAUACUCCUGCGGGACGCAGCAGUGUGGAAUAUUGGACAGUAGUCGAAAGCCUGACCCAGCCGGGCCGCGUGUGUGAAGAAGGUCUUCCGAUUGGAAAGCACUCUAUGGGGUGAGAAAGGGCUGUAGCUUAUGACCUUGCUGUAUUGACGGUACCAACAGAAUAAGCACCGGCUAACUUCGUG